RNAcentral lists this non-coding RNA (21 nucleotides) under Caenorhabditis elegans. Lineage: Eukaryota; Metazoa; Nematoda; Chromadorea; Rhabditida; Rhabditidae. The record is from RNAcentral.
UCAAAAUAAACACAAUUCUGG